Drosophila subpulchrella is the source of this 2810-nucleotide long non-coding RNA. RefSeq lists it as uncharacterized. The transcript is spliced from 3 exons. Lineage: Eukaryota; Metazoa; Arthropoda; Insecta; Diptera; Drosophilidae. The record is from RefSeq and is a predicted model, not a curated record.
AAGAUUUUAUAUUGAACAACAUUAUCCGUCCCACCAGCGACCUCAUCUGCAAUGUGACAAUGUCCCUGAGAUAUAAUUUACAGAAAAUUUGCUUAAUCCGUAAUAAAACGCUACAAUUAUCGCACUUGAAAAUACCAGUUAGCACAGACGCACCAUGAGUCCCCCACUGGGAAUUCAAGUAACGAGCCAUUAAACAAUUAAAGCAGCGCCAGACUCAACUCGCCAAAACCAAAGCUGAGAGCCGUACCCGGACCGGCGAUGACCAGCCAAGCAUUUGGCCAGCCAACCAAAUAUAAACAAGGAAAAUCCUUUGGAAAGGGCUAAAGGGGAAUCCCUAGGAAGCCAGCUAUGGAUGUGGGUGCGGCGUGGCCACAGGGGGUUCACAUACGCCCUUUCUGGAAGAGGCAACCACUGUGAAUAUGCUUCAAUUAUUAUGAGCAUACCGUGACCGCGCCUCCCGCACCCGACCACUGACCACCUACCACGCAUUCCCCUUGCCUCUGUUUGACGACUAUCACUUAACAGGAGACCAAAAGCACUUCGCACGACAACACCCUACUGGUCGCAAAGUGUGUAGAGCUCAUACGCAAUUAAAGGAAACCACGCUGUGCUUAAAGGAUUGAAGCCGGACUCUUAUUCCUAUUUGACAAAAUUAAAAAUGUGCCAUCGAACACACACUGUAUGAUAUUGCAAAUCUACCGAUCCAAUGUGUGUGAAACUGAAUGGAGAACCACUUUUUUAUACAGCGUGUAUUGGCGGCGCGGCGGAGAAAAUGUUUACCCCAUGGGUGGCUCCCGCUGCUUCUGAUGGGAACGGGCUCGUGAAAAGCUUCCUGAAGAAACGCACUUUCCACGUAUUUGCUGAUGGGUACAAGUCGUCCACCAAACCGAUCUCUGACGGAGUUCCCCAAAGUAGCCUCCUCGGCCCUACUCGACCAACCAGUAACCUUACAAACUUCUUUUAUUCUCUAUUUUCUAACAAACGUAUAAGGUUUCCACCUAGAAUAGAAACAAAUCCACAACAACCCAUAAAAAAAUACACAUUUAUAUAAAUAUAUUUUUGUUUGUAAUUUUUGUUGUUUUUAAAUAAAUGUUUUCUUUACGCUUUUGUCUCGUGUUUUAUUUUCAUUAUCAUUUCCUCUUUAAAUUUGGUUUUUCCAUUUUUUAGUUUUGCAAUUAAUUUAGGUUUGUGUCUAUUUGUUAAUUAAGUUUAAGUUUGGUUUGGAUUUCUCAUGUGGUUGUUGCCUCAUAAUUAAAGCGAACCGCUGAAGUUCUUCAUCAUGUAUAAGUAUGUUUUUCUAUGCAUAUAUAUUGUUUUGGGCUUUCAUUUAUCUUCGGUUGAAACUUGUAAUUACAAAUUAUGCAGUGUGUGUUAGUGUUUUUUAAGGUAUAUAUAACUUGUCUGCAGUUUUCGUAGAAUCUUUACCAAAAAGAAUAUUAGUUCACAAAUCUUCGGUUUCAAAUUUAUUUGAAAUUAUAGACGUAUGUGCGUGUGAAUAUGUCUGAAUUUACGUGUGUUUUCUUGUGUGGGUGUGUACAUAUAUGUAUAUAGUAAAAGUUAUUUAGUGUUGAUGUCACAAAUCAUUCAUUUAUCAUUCAGUAAGUAAAAAAAAUAUAUGUUCUCAUAUAAUAUACAAGGAGUUCUAUGGAAAUACAUACAAGUAGACUUGCUUUCCUUCUUUUCUGUGACUUUUUUCAUGUUUCGCUUUGUUUUGCUUACUUAGUUGGUUAUAAUGGGCCUAAAGUGCUAGGACAUAAUCGCAGAUUUUUAAAACGAGAUCUAACCAGUUUAACUGGGGGUUUUUCAUAGGUAUAGAGCAGUGGUCGGCACACACAUACCAUCACAAGUUUGCCUUGCAUUAGUGUGAGUGUAAAAAACACGAAGUUGGCGCAGCCUGACGUUUCUUUGUUUUGCACUGAGACUCUUUGCCGCAGCAGCAAAAAAGCGCGCCGAAGCUGAUAGAAAAAAGACCCGAAGACCCAUGCCGAAGUCAUACGAACAUCUACGUUAUACGUGAGCGAGCAGAGGAUGGGCAGAACACUUCCCUAUGCUCACUAGAUAGGCCGCUGCCGACCCCUGGUAUAGAGAGAUAGAUUGGAACCAAUCGAACCGAGGGGUAGUGCUGUAGUCGCGCAGGAGUUUCCGGUUGAUCUAAGGCCUUAUAUUCUAAAACCAUCAUCAGUUAUAUUGUAUUUUACUUCAAUUUGUAUUAAAUAAGUUUAAAUUUUUAAUUGCAGCUAUAUGUUUUUUGUCGGUUACUUUUAAAUAUAUCCUGGCUCUACUACCUCAUUACCUUAAUAUUUGCAUUGUUUAAUUAAGUUAAUGGGUGGCGUCGCGCGCUAAAAGCGUUUACUCUUUCAAACAAUCAUUUACUUUUUUGGUCUUUUUGUUAUAACCUUUGUAUUUAUGUAUUGUGUUAGUGUAUAUUGCAUUUUGACGAUCGCUUCCUUAGAUAAUCGUUGUUCCUAUGCGUCACUUGAGAACAGGCCACGAAAAAUGUUGCCAUACGUGUAGUUUUUCAUAUCUUUCGGCAUUUCCGGUUCAUGGGUUGGGGGUUGCUACUAGGAUCACGAAUGUCUUGGUAAUAUCUCGUAUAUAUAUCAAUGCUUUUAUAAAAUAUCCAAAGCGUAUUUAUAUAGAUGCACUUGUUUGUUUUGCACAUUUUAGUAAAUGUUAUAUCCUCCUUUUUGCUAGUUGUUACUUUCCCGCCUUUUAUUAUACCCGUUACUCGUAGAGUAAAAGGGUAUACUAGAUUCGUCGGAAAGUAUGUAACAGGCAGAAGGAAGCGUUUCCGACCCCAUAAAGUAUAU